Pelecanus crispus (Dalmatian pelican) is the source of this 72-nucleotide transfer RNA. It matches the Rfam family "tRNA". From Rfam's summary of the family: Transfer RNA (tRNA) molecules are approximately 80 nucleotides in length. Their secondary structure includes four short double-helical elements and three loops (D, anti-codon, and T loops). The record is from Rfam. Lineage: Eukaryota; Metazoa; Chordata; Aves; Pelecaniformes; Pelecanidae.
GGGGGCAUGGCUCAGGGGCAGAGCAUUUGACUGCAGAUCAAGAGGUCCCCGGUUCAAAUCCGGGUGCCCCCU